AAUAUUUGACCAUGGGGGCAACCCUGAUCCAGCCAUGCCGCGUCUGUGAAGAAGGUCUUCGGCUUGUAAAGCACUUUAAGUUGGGAGGAAUGGCUUUAGGUUAAUACCCUUAACUUUUGACGUUCCCCACAGAAUAAGCACCGGCUAACCCCCUGCCAGCAUCCGGCGUAAUCCGUAGGUGGCAAGAGUUGACCGGAAUUAUUGGUCGUAAAGCGCACGGAGGCGGCCCCUUAAGUUGGAUGUGAAAUCGUGCGGCUUAACCGCAAGCGGUCAUUGGAAACUGGGGGGCUUGAGUGCAGGAGAGGAAAGCGGAAUUCCAUGUGUAGCGGUGAAAUGCGUAGAGAUAUGGAGGAACACCAGUGGUGAAGGCGGCUUUCUGGCCUGUCACUGACGCUGAGGCGCGAAAGCGUGGGGAGCAAACA
Molecule: ribosomal RNA, 422 nt
Filed under: uncultured bacterium
Lineage: Bacteria
Description: partial 16S ribosomal RNA
Rfam family: Bacterial small subunit ribosomal RNA
Source: RNAcentral